CGUGUGCGAAUGUGAACAAUUAAAAAAUAUUUCGAAAUCCAACCAAAAUUCUUUAAUAAUAACGAAUUCUUUUCUUAGUAGCAAAAGUCCAAGUUCGUUCAGAGUAGUGUGUAUCCUCAAAUUGAACCGGUUUCAUAAUGUUACUGAGUCUUAUUUUACCGUCCCUGGGUAGAAUGUAAGGCGAGGUUAAUCCCUGAUGGAAUAGUUGUCAUAAUUAUCAUUUCUUUCCAAAGAAUUGAAGUGGAGUUUGACCGUUGUUUGUAAUUACGCAAAGAACAAGGUGUAAGAUUUACGUUUUUUUUCUUCUCAACGGCUUUCGUUGGUAAGCUAGCAAGCGAAGUGAAGUAAAAGUAGCAUCGAGAAUCGAAACCUUAGCUAGCAGACGAAACAGCUAAGGAAGCCUCUAAGUCGUAACAAGGUUUGCUAAAAAUAACAGCAAUAUUUCCUCCAUAUCACACCAUACUUUCUUAGAGAAGGAAGGGCACAUUAGAUAUAAUUCACGCUUUAGAUUCAGAAUGUCUGAGGAAAAAAAUCGAAUGGAUGGUCUUGACGGGAACGUCAAUGAUGAUAAGUCUUGUUGGUCCAGUGCUGACCUCCUGGGGUUAUAUAACAUCAACAUGGCGUGUGGAUUCGUUGAUAGGGAAUUCAUUAAAUAAAUAGAAUUUGUUUGUUUACAUCAGCAUGAAAUGAAAACUGCGAUUCUUAAAGGGAAACGGGGGACUUUGUGAUGCACGUGCCUUUUCUUACAGACGACGUUAACGAUAUGUAUGAAGGGAAAUAGUUUCGAUCGAGAAUCGAUACCGUGUCGUGAUAGAUCGGUUCGCCGUAAACUAAUGCGAAAAUAAUCAUACAACAAGAACAAUUAAUCAUUUAAGUGUUAGGCGACUGUUUAUCACUAUUUAAGCGGCCCCACAACCCCUGUGACCCCACUAACCGAAAACAUGGCCUCCAUCAAGACAUGUGAAAAUUCAAUUGCUGUUCUAAGCGGAAAACAAAUUAAGCUGUUCGAUAUUCGGUGAUUGUAAAGGAAUCUUGCCGAAGACUCUUUGAGAAAGAGAGAUUGGUUGGUGCUCUCUCUCUCUUUUGGAAUAGGGACAUAACUGAAAGACCAGAAGUGGAAUUAAUCAACGGCGCUUUCUUUGUUACUCAGUCGGAUCUGCUGACAAAGAAAUCGGAAGAUUUUUUUUUUUUUUUUUGGAAACAUUAAAACAAAAGCAAAAUAAACAAAACACUU
Molecule: long non-coding RNA, 1234 nt
Organism: Octopus sinensis (East Asian common octopus)
Lineage: Eukaryota; Metazoa; Mollusca; Cephalopoda; Octopoda; Octopodidae
Exons: 3
Source: RefSeq, a predicted model, not a curated record